RNAcentral lists this ribosomal RNA (544 nucleotides) under uncultured eukaryote. RNAcentral describes it as "partial 18S ribosomal RNA". It matches the Rfam family "Eukaryotic small subunit ribosomal RNA", at positions 471 to 916 of the family's 1831-position model. The record is from RNAcentral.
CAAAAAAUAUCAAUGCUGGACACAAUGUGUUUAGUAAUUGGAAUGAGUACAAUUUAAAUCCCUUAACAAGUAACAAUUAGAGGGCAAGUCUGGUGCCAGCAGCCGCGGUAAUUCCAGCUCUAAUAGCGUAUAUUAAUAUUGUUGCAGUUAAAAAGCUCGUAGUUGAACUUAGAAUUAUUACAAGUUAUUUUACUUGAUUGUAAAAUGCUUGCUUAAUUCUUAUCUACUAGAUACUCUAUUCUGUACUUAAUUGUAUGGAAUAUCACCUAGCCAGUGGAACUUUGGUGAAAUAAUGCCUUUUUUUAAUACCAGAGUGUAAAAACUUGAAGUGUUAAAUUGGGAUAACAUUAUUUUAUUGAAGCGGGGUUCUAGUUAAUUUACUUUGAGUAAAUUAGAGUGUUCAAAGCAGCCUCUUGGGGCUUUGAAUAGAUUUAGCAUGGGAUAAUAGAAUAGGAUUUGAUAAUCUAUUUGUUGGUUUGAAUUAAUCAAAUAAUGAUUAAUAGGACAGUUGGGGGCAGUUCAUAUUAAGUGGUUAGCGGUGAAU